RNAcentral lists this small RNA (69 nucleotides) under Flavobacterium sp. 9AF. RNAcentral's name for it is "Flavo-1 RNA". It matches the Rfam family "Flavo-1 RNA". The record is from Rfam by way of RNAcentral. Lineage: Bacteria; Pseudomonadati; Bacteroidota; Flavobacteriia; Flavobacteriales; Flavobacteriaceae.
UAGUAACCCUGAUGGAAGCGAUAGCUUCUUAAACUUGUUUAAGAACUAAAGCGUACAGCAGGAAUAAGG